UACGGGGGGGGCAAGCGUUGUUCGGAAUUACUGGGCGUAAAGGGCUCGUAGGCGGCCAACUAAGUCAGACGUGAAAUCCCCAGGCUCAACCUGGGAACUGCGUCUGAUACUGGAUGGCUUGAGUUUGGGAGAGGGACGCGGAAUUCCAGGUGUAGCGGUGAAAUGCGUAGAUAUCUGGAGGAACACCGGUGGCGAAGGCGGCGUCCUGGACCAACACUGACACUGAGGAGCGAAAGCCAGGGGAGCAAACGGG
RNAcentral lists this ribosomal RNA (253 nucleotides) under uncultured bacterium. RNAcentral describes it as "partial 16S ribosomal RNA". It matches the Rfam family "Bacterial small subunit ribosomal RNA", at positions 524 to 776 of the family's 1533-position model. The record is from RNAcentral.